This 447-nucleotide ribosomal RNA is filed under the name uncultured bacterium. Its description in RNAcentral is "bacterial SSU rRNA". It matches the Rfam family "Bacterial small subunit ribosomal RNA", at positions 328 to 793 of the family's 1533-position model. The record is from RNAcentral.
UCGCCAGACUCCUACGGGAGGCAGCAGUCGGGAAUAUUGCGCAAUGGAGGAAACUCUGACGCAGUGACGCCGCGUAUAGGAAGAAGGUUUUCGGAUUGUAAACUAUUGUCGUGAGGGAAGAAAUUGACAGUACCUCAGGAGGAAGCUCCGGCUAACUAUGUGCCAGCAGCCGCGGUAAUACGGAGGAUGCGAGCGUUAUCCGGAUUUAUUGGGUUUAAAGGGUGCGCAGGCGGCACGGCAAGCCGGCGGUCAAAUCGCGGGGCUCAACCCCGCCCAGCCGUCGGAACUGCCGGGCUAGAGUGGGCGAGAAGUGCGCGGAAUGCGUGGUGUAGCGGUGAAAUGCAUAGAUAUCACGCAGAACUCCGAUUGCGAAGGCAGCGCACCGGCGCCCUACUGACGCUCAGGCACGAAAGCGUGGGUAUCGAACAGGAUUAGAUACCCUUGCAC